Molecule: ribosomal RNA, 256 nt
Filed under: uncultured bacterium
Lineage: Bacteria
Description: partial 16S ribosomal RNA
Rfam family: Bacterial small subunit ribosomal RNA
Source: RNAcentral
UACGUAGGGUGCAAGCGUUGUCCGGAAUUAUUGGGCGUAAAGAGCUCGUAGGCGGUUUGUUGCGUCGGCUGUGAAAUCCCGAGGCUCAACCUCGGGUCUGCAGUCGAUACGAGCAAACUAGAGUGUUGCAGGGGAGACUGGGAAUUCCUGGUGUAGCGGUGAAAUGCGCAGAUAUCAGGAGGAACACCGGUGGCGAAGGCGGGUCUCUGGGCAACAACUGACGCUGGAGGAGCGAAAGCGUGGGGGAGCGAACAGG